UGCCAUGAUUUUUCUCAAAUUGUGGCAAAGAGGUGCUAAAUUAUGUACUUGUGCAAAUUUGGUAUUUUUACUGUGAGUUUGGAAAAUUGCAGCAAUAAUAUCCUAAAUGUAGAAAAAUACAGUAAAGAUUCAACAUGCAAAUAUUUUCUGUGUAAUAUUGCAGCUAAGCCCGAUUCACCUCAGCUGUAUCACUGCUGCGGUAUCUAGGAGAAAGCAGACCUUUUAUGUAAUCCUGUAAACCACAAAUAUGUAAUAAGGAAAAACAAAUACGAUACCCGGGGUUUAUAAAAUCCUACGUUCAGCACUGGAACCAGAGGUGGAGCUGUUAUGCAAAUAUAUGUUUUGAAUUUAAAAUAUAAAUGUUUGGAUCUCUGUAUCUCAGUUAUCUAGUUACAGGUUCUUACAUUGUAUCAGUGACGAUGGACAUGAUAUUACUUCUCUUGGUGUUUUUUCCAAUAAGUGUCAUCUGUCAGACAAUACAGGAGUCAGGUCCAGGACUUGUGAGACCUUCACAGCCACUUGAAAUGACCUGUAUAGUAUCUGGAUUUGAGUUUACCAACUAUCAUAUGUAUUGGAUUAGACAAGCACCUGGGAAAGGAUUGGAAUGGAUUGGAGCAGCAUGGAGUUAUGGUGGCACUGCUUACGCUGAUUCACUGAUGAGCCGAACCACAAUCUCAAAAGACAAUGUCAAGAAGCAGGUCAAACUCCAGAUUAAUAACAUGGAGACUGCAGAUUCUGGAGUGUAUUAUUGUGCGAGAGGCACAGUACAACAAAGCAAUGAGGAGAUCGAACAAAAUCCAGCUGUGUCUAAAAGGAAGUAAUCAAAACAACCACAAGAGAAA
Molecule: non-coding RNA, 842 nt
Organism: Hyla sarda
Lineage: Eukaryota; Metazoa; Chordata; Amphibia; Anura; Hylidae
Source: the annotation of a RefSeq genome assembly